GGGGUUGUGGCUCAAGUGGUAGAGUGCUCGCCUAGCAAGUGUGAGGCACUGGGUUCAAUCCUCAGCACCUCA
This 72-nucleotide transfer RNA is filed under the name Marmota marmota marmota (Alpine marmot). It matches the Rfam family "tRNA". From Rfam's summary of the family: Transfer RNA (tRNA) molecules are approximately 80 nucleotides in length. Their secondary structure includes four short double-helical elements and three loops (D, anti-codon, and T loops). Lineage: Eukaryota; Metazoa; Chordata; Mammalia; Rodentia; Sciuridae. The record is from Rfam by way of RNAcentral. RNAcentral also lists the same sequence under 1 other name.